Molecule: unclassified non-coding RNA, 146 nt
Organism: Pongo abelii (Sumatran orangutan)
Lineage: Eukaryota; Metazoa; Chordata; Mammalia; Primates; Hominidae
Rfam family: Metazoan signal recognition particle RNA
About the family: The signal recognition particle (SRP) is a universally conserved ribonucleoprotein. It is involved in the co-translational targeting of proteins to membranes.
Source: Ensembl
GCUGGGCAUGGUGGCACAUGCCUGUAAUCCCAGCUCCUUGGGAGGCUGAGGCAGGAGAAUCGCUUGAACCCUGGAGGUGGAUUGCAGUGAGCCGAGACUACACCACUGCACUCCAGCCUGGGUGACAGAGGGAGAUCCUGUCUCAA